UACGUAGGGGGCUAGCGUUGUCCGGAAUCAUUGGGCGUAAAGCGCGUGUAGGCGGUUCGGUAAGUCCGCUGUGAAAGUCGGGGGCUCAACCCUCGGAUGCCGGUGGAUACUGUCGGACUAGAGUACGGAAGAGGCGAGUGGAAUUCCUGGUGUAGCGGUGAAAUGCGCAGAUAUCAGGAGGAACACCGGUGGCGAAGGCGGGUCUCUGGGCCGAUAUUGACGCUGAGGAGCGAAAGCGUGGGGAGCGAACAGG
Molecule: ribosomal RNA, 253 nt
Filed under: uncultured bacterium
Lineage: Bacteria
Description: partial 16S ribosomal RNA
Rfam family: Bacterial small subunit ribosomal RNA
Source: RNAcentral